This 443-nucleotide ribosomal RNA is filed under the name uncultured bacterium. RNAcentral's name for it is "partial 16S ribosomal RNA". It matches the Rfam family "Bacterial small subunit ribosomal RNA", at positions 338 to 795 of the family's 1533-position model. The record is from RNAcentral.
CCUACGGGAGGCAGCAGUGGGGAAUAUUGGGCAAUGGGCGCAAGCCUGACCCAGCAACGCCGCGUGAAGGAAGAAGGCUUUCGGGUUGUAAACUUCUUUUCUCAGGGACGAAGAAAGUGACGGUACCUGAGGAAUAAGCUACGGCUACCUACGUGCCAGCAGCCGCGGUAAUACGUAGGUGGCAAGCGUUAUCAGGAUUUAUUGGGUGUAAAGGGCGGGUAGGCGGGAGCGCAAGUCAGAGGUGAAAACUCAGGGCUCAACCCUGAGCCUGCAUUUGAAACUGUGUUUCUUGAGUGCUGGAGAGGCGAGCGGAAUUCCGGGUGUAGCAGUGAAAUGCGUAGAUAUACGGAGGAACACCAGGGGCGAAGGCGAAUUGCUGGACAAUAACUGACGCUGAGGCGCGAAAGCGUGGGGAGCAAACAGGAUUAGAUACCCCAGUAGUC